Molecule: long non-coding RNA, 595 nt
Organism: Durio zibethinus
Lineage: Eukaryota; Viridiplantae; Streptophyta; Magnoliopsida; Malvales; Malvaceae
Source: RefSeq, a predicted model, not a curated record
UCUUUACUCAAAAGAAACUCAAAUAUAAGACUCUUUAAAUUUCUUCAUUCUCCUCAAUCUAUCAUCGUCUUUCAUUUUCUGUUUUAUUUUUUUAACAUUUUGGUCCUUCACCAUUCCUGGGUUUCCAAUCAAUGACGUGUAAACUGUUAAACUGUCAGAUUCAAAACCGGUGUGUUCUUGUUGUCUCAAAAUUUAUUGAAUUACUGGUAUAAUAGUAAGAGCAAUGCUAAAGGAUCAUGGUUCCAGUGCACCAUCUGCACCUACUAGUACUCGAGUUCGGCACCGGAGACGGUCCAGUGAGCUUCCUGUUGAGAUGAGCAGAACAAACUGAAAUCAUUUACUUGCCAAUGAUCACAACAAAUAUAAAUCAUUGUGGAUUCGUGCUUGUUCAUCUCUGUGGAUGCUGGGGGCUUCUUAUUAUCCGAAUAUUCAUGGCGAGGGAGCUCUUCAAUCUACUCAGAAAAGCCCACGAAGAUAAACGCCUGCCUGGGUUCAGGCUCUUGAACUGGCACUUUUACUUCACGGCUAUGCUCUUUGUAUACGGUCGCAUUCUCAGUCACCAGCUCGUGAAUACAGUAACUUUAGAUAAAAAUCU